CCCUGGCUCGCGGAAUAAAGUCCCAGCUCCUGCGGGGGCCUCCCCGGCGGCCCCAGGCCCCCAGACGCGCUUUGCCGAGGGGCAGAUGGGGAAACUGAGGCACAGAGGAGCAACUUGCUGAGAAUUACUCAGCAGGUGUAGGAUUUGAACCCAGGCGCCAUAGACCACUAACCACUGGACACCAAAAAAGCCCCAGGGGAGCCAGACGGUGGGGAAGAACACCGAGGAAUAAAGUAUUUCAGAACCCAGACUUUAUCUGGAGGCAGUGAGGUACCCUUCUUGAGGCAAUGGAUCAUGAUUUGCUUGGGCCAAUCAUGGCAAUCCUAUUCCAGCUUUCUCAGCCUCCUUUGUCCUGGCUGUGACCACAGAACAUCUUGCCUCCAUGAGAGAAGGCCAAGACAACUGCAUUGUGGGAGCACUGACAUCUGUGAACAACUGGGCUCCAGCAACAGCCAGUAUCUGGAAUUCUUGUAAGGUGAAGACAGAGGGAUAGCCAACAACCCUGAGCCAAGCUCUGUGGACAAAGUCAGGAGACUGUGUCAGAGAGGCUAAGAGUAGAUCCUUUCCGCUACCACCCUUGGGGCAGAAUGAUAUCCAGUCAUGCCCCAGGUAAGGCAGUCUCCAUAAACAGGAGACUGUUUAGAGAAAGAACGAUGAUGAUGGUGAUGGUG
Non-coding RNA from Leptonychotes weddellii (Weddell seal), 671 nucleotides. The record is from RefSeq and is a predicted model, not a curated record. NCBI's taxonomy places the organism in Eukaryota, Metazoa, Chordata, Mammalia, Carnivora, Phocidae.